This 492-nucleotide ribosomal RNA is filed under the name uncultured bacterium. RNAcentral describes it as "partial 16S ribosomal RNA". It matches the Rfam family "Bacterial small subunit ribosomal RNA", at positions 29 to 507 of the family's 1533-position model. The record is from RNAcentral.
AGUGAACGCUGGCGGUAGGCCUAACACAUGCAAGUCGAACGGCAGCACAGUAAGAGCUUGCUCUUACGGGUGGCGAGUGGCGGACGGGUGAGGCAUACAUCGGAAUCUACUUUUUCGUGGGGGAUAACGUAGGGAAACUUACGCUAAUACCGCAUACGACCUACGGGUGAAAGCAGGGGAUCUUCGGACCUUGCGCGAUUGAAUGAGCCGAUGUCGGAUUAGCUAGUUGGCGGGGUAAAGGCCCACCAAGGCGACGAUCCGUAGCUGGUCUGAGAGGAUGAUCAGCCACACUGGAACUGAGACACGGUCCAGACUCCUACGGGAGGCAGCAGUGGGGAAUAUUGGACAAUGGGCGCAAGCCUGAUCCAGCCAUACCGCGUGGGUGAAGAAGGCCUUCGGGUUGUAAAGCCCUUUUGUUGGGAAAGAAAAGCAGCAUGUUAAUACCCCGCUGUUCUGACGGUACCCAAAGAAUAAGCACCGGCUAACUUCGUG